Molecule: long non-coding RNA, 22515 nt
Filed under: Gossypium barbadense (sea-island cotton)
Lineage: Eukaryota; Viridiplantae; Streptophyta; Magnoliopsida; Malvales; Malvaceae
Description: long non-coding RNA (GBAR_LNC011607)
Source: RNAcentral
UGAAGUCUAGUGGUGACAGAGACGAGAAAUUACGGCGUGCUUGGUGGCGACGAUCGGGCCGUUAAAUCUGUGAGAUGAAAGGUCACGUCGUUUGGAGUGCCCAAAACUUCUAGAAACUCCUUGCGGCGCUGUGUUCUCAGGAAACCCUAGGGUUUCCUUGUCUGUUUUUACCGUUUGGGCUUUUUGGGCCACUUUAGUCUAGGGUCUGUUAUUUAGGCUUGGGUGUAACCUGGUUUGGUUUAAUUUGGGCUACGGGUGUAUUUUAGGCUGCUGGGGUUUAAUUUUUUUGACUCUGUAUAUGGACUUUUAAAAUAGAUAAAUACUUAUUUAUUUAACCCUUUUUAUUCUAUCUUCGGCCCGGUCAAAUUUGGGCUAAUACAGCUGCCCCUCUUUGCUCAUUGCUGUGUAACGGGAAUCGAGCAAAGAUUUAAAAGAUCAAAUUUGACCGGUCAAAUCAUGGUCUUUAAUCUUCUUGACUAUCAUGUUGGUAUCUUUGAUCGGCUCUCCGCUGAACACAGAGACGCCAAAUCUGCUUCUUCGAUUUGUUUUCUGACAAUACAGAGAUGACAAAUCAUCUUAGAUUUGCUUCAUCGUAAGCACGUGAAAGCUAAAUCAGCUAUGUCUUUGAUUUGCUCCUUGUAAGCACAAGGAUGCCAAAUCCUCUUGGAUUUUGUUUCAGUCUAAUCGUCUGAAGGUCAGAUCUACUAUGUAUCUGCACUCUAUUGAAGUAGAGAUGCCAGAAUUUGAUUUGUUCUCUAACAAUGCAGAGACGAAAAAUCAUCUUAGAUUUGCUUCAUCGUAAACACGUGAAAGCCAAAUCAGCUAUAUCUUCGAUCUGCUCCCCGCCGAAUACAGAGAGAUAAGAUCUGUCAUCUUGGAUCUACUUCAGCAUAAACAUCUGAAAGUGAGAUCUGCUAUCUGUCUGCCUUCCAUCAAAGUGGAAAUGCCAGACUUCGAUUUGUUCUCUGACAAUAUAGAGGCGACAAAUCAUCUUAGAUUUGCUUCACCGUAAACACGUGAAAGCCAAAUCAGCUAUAUCUUCGAUCUGCUCCCUGCUGAAUACAGAGAGAUAAGAUCUGUCAUCUUGGAUCUGCUUCAGCGUAAACAUCUAAAGGUGAGGUCUACUAUGUGUCUGCCUUCCAUCAAAGUGGAAAUGCCAGACUUCGAUUUGUUCUCUGACAAUACAGAGGCGACAAAUCAUCUUAGAUUUGCUUCAUCGUAAACACGUGAAAUCCAAAUCAGCUAUAUCUUCGAUCUGCUCCCUGCCGAAUACAGAGAGAUAAGAUCUGUCAUCUUGGAUCUGCUUCAGCGUAAACACCUGAAGGUGAGAUCUGCUAUGUGUCUACCUUCCAUUAAAGUGGAAAUGCCAAAAUUUGAUUUGUUCUCUGACAAUAAAGAGGCAACAAAUCAUCUUAGAUUUGCUUCAUCAUAAACACGUGAAAGCCAAAUCAGCUAUAUCUCCGAUCUGCUCCCUGCCGAAUUCAGAGAGAUAAGAUCUGUCAUCUUGGAUCUGCCCCGAUGAAGGUCAGAUCUGCUAUGCUGCGGCCUAUUACCCUACUGUUUUGGGGUUUAAAGUGCGCUGUCUUCGAUAACCUGUAGAAUGAUUAUGCCUGAUAAUUUUGGAUGCUAUGCUCGAAGUGAUUCGAAUGUUCCUAAUUAAACAUGUUAUGAUGCAAAAUGUUGUGAAUAUGACCCCUAUCCUAGACGUCAUCAUUCAUUCCUUCGUUUGUCUUUUCUUUUCUCAAAGUUUCAUUCAUGCUCAGCCUGUAAGCCGUCUUCCAAUGAUACGAUCCACUGAGGAUGUCUGUAAGAACUGAAUUAUUGGCUUUGUCUAUUUUCCUUUUGGACAAGAAGAAAGGAAUUCCUCGAGUUCUUUCAUCCCUUACUUACGUGAAUUUCUCGAACAAAUGUCCUGUUUUAGUUUCUUGUGUUAUCUAGAAAUUUUAGAGUAAUGCGCAAAACUUCAUUUGUGACCAUAUUAGUUCAUCUAUCAUUAUUUCAAUGCAACAUACUUAAAGAAUAGUGAAUGAUGAAUAAAUUUUUAAGAAUAAUUAAAUUUGAAUGAAUUAUCAAAAGAUACAAAAGGGAAUUAAUCUGCUAGCCUAUCUUCUAGAAGAAAUAGAAUCUAAAGAUAGCAAACAAGAUAGAAGUUAGAUCCUCUAAAUAUCGCCGCUUGAGUGCCUAUACACCAGCUCCAUGAAGUCUUUCUUGAGUUCAAAAUGUGUUUAAAAGAUCCCAAGUGCUCUGUUGAUGCCCCAGUUUGCAGCAUUCUUCGCUCUUUGUAGCAAGAUCAUUAUGUACUCUUCAAAAUUUGAGCUGCCCUUUCGGAUUUUCAACUCAAAACCCCUUUGGUCACAAGGUGCCCUUUGCGGGUUUUCACAUUGGCCUCUCUGUUUUUUUUUCAUCUCAAGGCGCCCUUUACGGGUUUUCACCUUAGAUUCUCUUCUUCUUUAGACAAAGUAUUAUUUAACUGAGUCCGAGUUCACUGGAUUGGGUAAUCUUUUCCCAUCCAUUUCUUCUAAGAUCAAUGCACCAAUGGAGAAAGCUUUCUUCACGACAUACGGCCCUUCCCAAUUCGGCAUCCAUUUUCCUCUAAAAUCUUUUUGAAUAGGAAGGAUCUUUUUCAGUACAAGGUCUCCCUCAUGAAAUUCUCUUGGUUGAACUUUCUUGUCAUAAGCUCGCAUCAUUCGCUUCUAAUACAUCUAACCAUGUCGAAUGGCUUUUAGCCUCUUUUCCUCAAUCAAGUUCAACUGGUCAUACCAGGAUUGAACCCACUCAGCUUCAUCUAACUUUACCUCCGUCAAAAUUCGAAAAGAAGGUAUUUCUACUUCAAUAGGUAAUACUGCUUCCAUCCCAUAAACUAACGAGAAUGGAGUUGCCCUAGUAGAGGUUCUGACAGAUGUUCGAUAGGCUAGGAGUGCAAAUGGCAACUUCUCAUGCCAAUCUCUAUAGGUCUCAGUCAUCUUCCCCACUAUUUUCUUAAUAUUCUUGUUGGUAGCUUCCACUGCCCCAUUCAUUUUUGGAUGAUAGGGAGAAGAAUUCUGAUGCUUGAUCUUGAACUGGUCGCAAACCUCCGCUAUCGUUUUGUUAUUUAAGUUCAAUGCAUUGUCAGAUAUGAUCUUCUCAGGUAUUCCAUAUCGACAAAUGAUCUCCUUCUUCAAGAAUUGACUCACAACUGACUUAGUAACAUUCGCAUAAGAAGCAGCCUCUACCCAUUUUAUGAAGUAGUCAAUUACUACAAAGAUAAACCGAUGUCCAUUCGAAGCUUUCGGUGAUAUUGGUCCAAUGACAUCCAUGCCCCACAUGGAAAAGGGCCAUGGAGAAGUCAUAACAUGUAAAGGUAAAGGUGGUACAUGAAUUUUAUCCCCAUAAAUCUGGCACUUAUGGCAUUUCUUGGUGUAGUUGAUACAGUCCCCUUCCAUAGUAGCCCAAUAAUAGCCAAACCUCAUGAUUUGCCUUGCCAUCGUGAACCCAUUUGCAUGCGUCCCGCAUACACCUUCAUGAACUUCUUCUAAAAUUAGCUUAGCUUCCACAGCAUCGACACAUCUCAAAAGUACUUGGUCUUUUCGUCUUUUGUACAGGAUAUCUCCAUCUAAAACAUAGUCGCAAGCUAACCUCCUCAAAGUUCGUUUGUCAUUUUCACUGGCCUGUUCAGGGUAUUUAUGAUCUCUCACAUAUCGCAAUAUAUCUUGAUACCAGGGGUUAUUGUCAUUUCCUUCCCUCUCAAUGUUACAACAAUGAGCUGGAGCCUCGUAAAUGCUCAUUUGAAUUGGCUUCAUUUCUUCUUCUUUAUUCACCUUGAUCAUUGAGGCCAAGGUUGCUAAAGCAUCUGCCAUCUGAUUUUCAUCUCGUGGGAGAUAAUUGAAGGUGAUUCUAUCAAACUCCUCAAGUAACCCCAAAACUACCUUUCGAUAACUAAUCAAUUUAGGGUCCUUUGUCUCCCAUUCGCCUCUAAGCUGAUAAACAACCAACGCCGAAUCUCCAUAUACUUCUAAGGUUUUUAUACCUCGCUCUAUAGCUGCUUGAAGUCCCAUGAUGCAUGCUUCAUAUUCAGCCAUAUUGUUCGUGCAAUCAAAGUCCAACUUGCACGUAAAAGGAUAAUGAUCACCAUCCAGAGAUACCAAGACUGCCCCAAUUCCAUUUCCGACUACAUUAGAAGUCCCAUCAAAGUUGAGUUUCCAAGAAGAAUUUUCAGUCAUCACUAUUCACAUUAACUCCUCAUUUGGAAAAUCAAAGUUCAAUGGCUCAUAAUCCUCUAGAGACCUACUGGUCAAGAAAUCUGCCACCGCACUUCCUUUUAUAGCCUUCUGACUUAUGUAGACUAUAUCGAACUCUGAAAGCAAAAUUUUCCAUCUUGUCAUUCUCCCAUUUAAAGCCGUUGACUCCAUCAUGUAUUUCAAUGGGUCAAGCUUUGAGAUGAGCCAAGUGGUAUGGUAUAGCAUGUACUGUCUUAAUCUUCGAGUUGUCUUAAUCUUCGAGUUGUCUAAAUCAGCGCACAACACAACUUUUCAAUCGGUGGAUAUCUCAUCUCACAGUCAGUGAAUUUCUUAUUGAGAUAAUAAAUCGCCUUCUCCUUCUUCCCUGACUCGUCAUGCUGGCCAAGCACACAUCCCAUGAAAUUACUGAACACUGACAAGUACAGUAUCAAUGGUUUAUCUGGGCUUGGUGGAGAUAAUAUCGGAGCAUUCAACAAAUACUGCUUGACUUUUUCAAAAGCAUUCUGGCACUCCUCAUCCCAAGUACCUUGAUUGUGUUUUCUGAGGAGACGAAAGAUAGGAUUGCAUUUCUCGGUCAGUUGUGAAAUAAACCGAGCGAUGUAAUUCAAUCUUCCUAGGAAUCCUCAAACUUCCUUCUGAGUACGUGGUGGAGGUAACUCUCGUAUGGCUCUGACCUUGUCUGAGUCGACUUCAAUUUCCUUUUCACUGACCACGAAGCCUAAUAACUUUCCCGAUCUGGCUCCAAAGGUACACUUUGCUGGGUUGAGCUUCAACUGAAAUUUUCUCAAUCUCAAGAACAAUCUUCUCAAGACCUCAAUGUGCUCUUUUUCUGUAUGCGACUUGGCAAUCAUAUCAUCAACGCAUACCUCAAUAUCCUUAUGCAUCAUGUCAUGGAAUAAGUUUACCAUGGCCCGUUGGUAUGUUGCCCCUGCGUUCUUUAGUCCAAACGGUAUUACUUUGUAGCAAAAGGUGCCCCAUAAGGUUAUGAAGGUGGUUUUAUCCAUGUCCUAUGGAUGCAUCUUUAUCUGAUUGUAUCCUGAGAAACCAUCCAUGAAGGAAAACAAUGAAUAUCCCGCUGUGUUUUACACCAAAGUGUCAAUGUGUGGUAAAGGAAAAUUAUCCUUUGGGCUUGCUUUGUUCAGGUCUCUGUAGUCAACACACAUUUGUACCUUCCCAUCCUUUUUAGGAACAGGCACAACGUUAGCUACCCAUUCAGAGUACUUCACUUCUUGCAAGAAUCCUGCAUCGAACUGCUUCUUGACCUCAUCCUUUAUUUUCAGAACGAUAUAUGGCCUCAUUCUUCGCAACUUCUGUUGGACUAGCUUACAAUCCUGUCUUAUUAGAAGACAAUGCACUACAAUGUUGGUACUCAAUCCGGGCAUAUCCUGAUACGACCAGGCGAAGAUAUCCUUGAACUCUUGAAGCAACUCAACCAGACCAUGCCUUGUGUCCUCGCUAAUUAGGGUUUCAAUUUUCAACUCCUUCCCUUCCUCUAGGGCUAUAUUCUCUAUUGCCUCUUUCUCAUGUGGCAUGAUUUGUUUCUCCUCUUGCUUUACCAUUCUUAAUAGAUCGAGAGAUACAUCACUAUCUUUAAAAUCCUGAAGUUCCUCUAAACACAUGUCUUGCUCGCCAGAGAAAUUAGGAGCUGCAGUAUCAGCGCUCAUAUCAUUGAUAUCUAGGGACCUGUGGGGGUAUGAAAGAAUAUACAAAGAAUGAAUGAAUCAAAGAAUGAUUGUUUAUGUGCUAAGAAUUUCCAGAAUUUAAAGGAAUAUUGGUUAAUAAAAGUGAAACAAUACUCGUUUAAAUUGAUAAAAGUUAUGUUUUAUUUAAAUAAUUAUAGAUGAACAUAAGCCUAUUUCACAUAUGUAAUUUUAUUACUCCUAGGCCCUAGAGUAACAGACAUGUUUCGAGAAUUACUCUGAAAAAUUCCUAAAGACUACAGGAAGGUCUUCAACAGUCCAAUUGUUCAGAGAGCUCCCCGAUUCGUAAGGGCGAAUGCCCUCGAGGUUUUCUUACCCCGAUCCCUCAUUGUGUACAGCAUUAACUUGAUGACUUUCUUCUAUCAGCAAUCCUCCUGACUUAAAGGAUUUGGAUAUAGGUGGGAAUGUCAUCGGUUCCCAUUCCACUUCUCUUCCAUUCAAACGCGCUUUUCUUCUUACUUGGCGCUUCUCCAUUUCUUGCCUCAUGUGUUUAUGGUCUGGCUUGAAACCCAAACCAAAACGAUCCUUCUUCUCACUCAAUUUUGGGAUUUGAACCCCUCCUUGCAACUGUCUUCCUAGCCCUUUUCUUGGCAAUGCUCCCCUCCCUAUCAUCAUUUGUAGGGCCAUCCUCGUGGCUUUAGACAUUUUGGGUGCCGGCAUCACACUUCCUUCCGAAAUGAAGGUGGCAUUAAUGAUUUCUAAAGAGCGGAAAGAACACUCGAUAGCCUCUUCAUUGGCCUCAACAUAAAGGGCCUUGCUGGUGACUGCUGCUAUGAUAUCCUCCUCCACGUUGAUGGUUAUUAGGCGUCCAUCUGUCACUAACUUUAAUUUUUGGUGCAAUGAAGAGGGCACCGCUCCUGCCAAGUGUUUCCAUGGUCUCCCCAAUAAACAAUUGUAGGAGGGCUUGAUAUCCAUCACCAAAAAAUCAACUUCAUAUGUAUUUGGUCCAAUCUCCAGAGGGAUGUCAAUUGGUCCCAUCACUUUUCUUUCAGUUCCAUCAAACGUGAUGUCUUCAUAUACGAACUAUCAAUGGGUAAUCUAUUUAAUGUGGAUAAUAGAAGGACGUUCAAAGUAGACCCAUUAUCAACAAGUACACUUGGAAGCGUGUAUCCCUUGCACCGAGUAGUGAUAUGCAAGGCCUUGGUUGACCCUAUGCCCUCGGGUGGAAUUUCAUCAUCAUUGAAAUAGAUGAAAUUGUCAGCACUGAUGUUGUUUACUAACCGGUCCAACUUGUUAAUGGAUAUGUCAUGGGUGACAUAUGUUUCAUUAAUGACCUUUAACAAUGCAUCCCGAUGCACCUUAGAACUCAGGAGUAGGGCUAACACUGAUAUACGUGCCGGCUGCUUGUGCAACUACUCGACCAUGCUAUACUCGCUAUGUUUCAGGAACUUUAGAAACUCCUUAGCUUCUUCUUCCUUUAUCGGCUCAUUGAUGGGUACUUCGGUCUCUUUCUCCCUUUCAACCUCGACAUCUUUCGUUUUUGUGGGCUCCAUUCUGAUAUUCCCCCGUCAUAAUGUUUCCCACUCCGCGUAUAGGAACCUUCAUUUUGCACACCUCUAGAUGCACUGGCUAUACUCUCCCCUUCAGGUAUUGUUAUACUGCAAUCAUAACUCCAUGGCACCCUCUUGUCAUCCUUGUAAGGGAAAGGAUUGGGUCUAUGAAUGACAACCCUAGGCCCAAUUUGCGCCUCCACUUCAUUAUUUCCUGGUAAGGAAAUAAUAAUCCUCGAUCGGUGGGUUUCUUGUCAUUCAUUCUCCAGCACACAUAUUUGUCCUUCAUAAUAACUACCCUCAGAAACUUGUAGUUCUUUGUUAACCAUAAGGCCUUGUACCAUGGCCUUGAACUCUUCGCAAUUUUGGAUCAUAUGACCCACCUUUCCAUGGAAUUCAUAAUAGUUCUCCAUUCUUUCUCUUCCUCUUCUAGAGGUUAGCAUACCUUUUUUCACCAUCUCCUCCCAUAUUACUUUCAUAGGUGUCUUCAUCCCAGCAAUAUCUUCAUUCACUUUUCCUUUCUUUAUUUCAUCGAUGGCAUUCACUCCUUGAUUACCAUGAUCUGGUAACGGAUUUUUGGUAUUAGGGGUACUAUCGAAUUUCACCACCUCCAUUUUGAUGAGCCUCUCCACGACCUUCUUGAACCCAGUGCGGUUUUCAAUUGAAUGCCCGAUAUUCCCGCGUGAUAUUUGUAUUUAGCAUUUGCAUCAUACCAUUUGGGGUACGGUGUCUACAGUGGUUUUAAGUGAAACAGAGCAAUGGCAUGUGCAUCGUAUAAGCUUUGAUAAAGCUCACGAUAUGCCACAGAGAUAGAAGUGAAUUGCAUCCUCUCUGAAUUCUGUCUUGUACCCGAUUCCUGUCUUUGAGUACUUUGUUGCUCACCCGUAGCUGCUUUAGGUUGUCCAAAUGUGAUUGCCCUGGAGUUGAAACUGUUCAUGUUAUUCACCUCAUUGUCUUUUCUCCUUGGGGCUAAUCUUAUAGCCACUUCCCCCUCAAUUUUACAGCCCGUCACGGCAUUUUCAAUCAUCUCACCCGCCAUAACUAUAUCCGCAAAACUUUUCAUGGUACUUCCAAUCAUGUGUGUGAUGAAUGGCGCAUUCAAAGUAUUAAUAAAUAACAUGGUGGUCUCCUUUUCCAACAAUAGUGGUUGUACUUGCAUUGCCACCUCCCUCCAUCAUUGUGCAUAUUGCCUAAAAUUUUCAUUAGGCUUUUUAUCCAUGUUUUGAAGUGUGAUCCUAUCUGGCGUCAUAUCAAUCACAUGGUUAUACUGUUGCAUGAAAGCCUGUGCAAGAUCUCUCCAUGAACCAAUUCUUGCACGGCUCAACUAAUUGUACCACCUAGCCGCUGCUCCCACUAGGCUGUCCUGAAAACAAUGGAUCAAUAGUUGAUCAUUGUUCACAUAUCAAAUCAUCCUCCUACAAAACAUUGUUAUAUGUGCCUCUGGACAAGUAGUCCCGUUGUACUUUUCAAAUUCUGGUAUCUUAAAUUUAUGAGGAAGCACCAAAUCUGGAACCAAACUUAAGUCUUUGGCAUCAAUCCAAUGAUGAUUGCCUGCGCCUUCCAAAACCCUAAACUUCUCCUCUAACCAUCUGCAACGAUCUUCCAAUUGUUUCGCGGAUUCAAUUGUCAUUCUUUCCUUCUCCAUCAAGUCCAGAUCAGGAGUGAUAGGGUUGACCGAGCUAUCACCCAAAUUAUUUCCCAAACCAGAUGGGAAAUUUACGGGGAUUCCAGCAUCAAUUGGCCUAUGUUGAGGCCUUACGGUGAUAGAUGGCCUUCUAGGAGGUGCCUCGGUUUGCAGUGGCACAUGAGGUGGAGUAAAACCCAGAGACCUUUAUUCUCCUCUUUAGUGAUUGCCAUGGGAGCUUUUCCUUUAUCAGUGGCUCUCAGCAGCUGAGCCAUUUCAGCCAUCAUGUUUCUCUGAGCCUCUAGCAUCUGUUCCCUCAUUUCAUUCUGCAUUUUGGCCAACUGCUCCUGCAUUUGAUCUUGCAUAUCUUUUUGUAAUUGCUCGAACCUUUGAUCUAUACUCUUAGUCUUAGUAUGAGUGUCGUAAGGAUGCAUGAUUUCCAGAUUUUCUUUUCUACCUUCAGAAGUAAACUUUAACUAAUCAGGGUCUUUCUAUAACUUUGAAUGCAAAUGAUGUGAUGAAAUGCUAUGAGAUGCAAAUGCAUGAAUGCAAAAAAGAAUAUCGAUUCUGGUUCAACUUCAUUUAGAAAAUUUUAUUUAGAAAAAGAAUAUCUUUACAUAUAAGAGGAUUACAAAUACGCUUUCGCCCUAAGGCCCAAAGCUUUAACUCUAUCUAAUAAAAGGGCUAACUCUCGUCCUAUAUCUGACGAUGAUGAAUACAUCAGACUCAAUACAUCAGUUUGAAUUGCCAAGUCUUGUACAUAUUCACCAACCUCUCGAAUCUGGGCUAUGGCUUCACCAAUGACAUGAUCACUUUCUCUAACCUGUCCUCUAGCCUGACGAAGCUCUCCCUUCAGAUAAUCUUCUUGCGUCUCGAGCUGCUCAACUUGGAGUUCACCAUCAUGCAAUGCCACUUCUAAAUCCUCAACCUUGCUUUUUAGCUCCUUUAACUCGACCGCAGAAUUAUGGUUUUGGUGCCAACGUAGGGAUCUUACAAGCUCAGUUACCUUAGUCUUCAAUCCUCUAUUUUCUUCCUCUAAUGCCAAAUUCUGCGACUGCAUCUCUUGGAACUUCCUCUCCCAAUACUCGGCUUUAGCUUUUUCCUCUUAGACCUCUUUUUGCAACUGAUCCGAAGAUCCUCCUACUCUCGCUCUCCUCAGGGAUACUUGUACCCUUUUGUAAUGCUCCUUUAGAUCAUCUCGAUCUUCCUCAAUCUUCUUCUUUUCUUUUUUCUCUUUCUCGAGCUCCAUCUUUUGAACAUCGACGUCCAAACUCAAGUACAUCUUUUUUUCUUCAAGCUUUGCUAUCCUUUUCUCAAGCUCUAAGUUCUUUCUCUCGAACUCCUGCUUCAUAAUUUCUGACUCUGAGGGCCUUACUUGCAAAUAUUCUUCCAUCGGUCGAGCUCCUUCCACACUUGGCUUAGGGAUAUUAUCGUUAACCCUUCUGCCUCUCCAUUCAAUGUAUUCCGGUGUGGUUGCAGGACUAAUAGCUACUCCUUUCAACCGACAAGUCUUUUUCCAAGCACUAGAAACUUCACUAACCUUCCUCUUGUAAUCGGCUCCUCUAUAUACGAACUCACUUUGUGUAAUAGCCCAAAAUUGGGUCUAGUUGGAACAGAGGUUUCGGGACCACAAAAUAUGAGAUAUAAAUAAUUAUUUUAUGAUUAUUUUGAGAUUUAUGAUAUGAUUGCAUGAUUGUGUGAAAAUUUCAUAAAGAAAUUCUAUGCAUAAAGUGCUUAAUUCGACGUUAGGGACUAAAUUGAAUAAGUUGCAAAACUUGCAUUCUAAAAGUUUCUAGUAUGAAAUUGAUUUGAAAUGUUAAUUAGGAGGUCUUAAAUAGCAAUUUUACCAAUUUCUAAGUUAUGUACAAAAAUUGGACAUGGAUGGAAUUUUUGGAAAGUUUAGUAGUAAGGGUAUUUUGGUCAUUUAGGGGUAAAAUGAAUUAAAAUACAAAAUUAAAAGCCAAUUUUGCUCAUGUUCUUCACCAUGGACGUGUAUACCAAGGGAGACUUCAUGGCUAGGGUUUUCAAGCUUCCCAAGCUCAAUUGUAAGUCCAUUCUAACCUCGUUUUUCAAGUUCUUUACGUUUUUGGAGUCCCGGUAACUUGAUUUAGCUUAUGCUAACAAUAAUUCAACCUAGGGUUCAUAUUUGGAAAAUAAUCAUAGGUAAAAUUUGUGUAUUCUGGUGUUUUAUGAUACAAUAUGAGGUUUUAAAUUAUGUUAGACAACUUGUGCUACUCAGUUUUAAGUGAAAACGAGAAAAAGGGCUUAAUCGGUAAAAAUACCUAAUAGUCAUAAGUAUAUGUUAGAGUGAGAAUUUGAUGUUGCCAUAGAAGGGAAAAGUGAUCAUCAUGUCAUAAAACAUAAGAAUAAGGGAUGAAGUUUAAUUCCCGAGCCUAGGGGCAAAAGUGUAAAUAUGCAAAAGUUUAGGGGCAAAAUUGUAAUUUUUCCAAAGUUUGAGUUAAGGAUUGUUUUGAAUAGUACAUUAAUUAAAUAAGUAAAAUAUGAUGUUUUAGAUCCCGGAAAACGAGAUUUGAACCUAGAAUGAUAGAAAAAUCGAAAAUUGAGAAAGUUGGUAAAAUGGUCGUUUUAAUGUCAAGGUAAGUUCAUAUGUAUAAUAAGCAUUAAUUUAUGCAUGUUUCAAUGUAAAAUUGAUAUAUUUACUAUGAUCUCCGAGGUGUUGAAAGUAUGUAAGUUGGUAUGAUAAUAAUACAACAAUAAUGCUGUAAUUUAUAUUUGAAAGUUAAAUUUAGUGAAUUAAUUGAAUUAUGUUAAAUUAAAUGAUUAUGGUGCCAAGUUUAUGAAUUGAUUUAAAAAUAUGUCUAUGGUACAUGAAGUGCAUUGAAUUAUCAUACAUAAAUGUGAUUUCUAUGAUUAUGGAUAUUAUGGGAAAUUGUAAGUUCAUAUGAUUUUUAAUAAGACAAUGUGUAAUUUAAUGUUAUUGCGUUGAUAUUAAAUGAUAUGUAAGUUUAUAUGUAAGUAAUACAUCACUAUUACUUGUAUUAUGAUAUUUUAUAAAAAUAUUAGAAAUAUUUUUGUGGAUAAUUACUUGAUUGGUGAAAUUGUUGGAAAAGAGAGAGAAAUCCCGGUUGAACCUUCGGAAAGAUUGGAUGAUACAGAUGGUAUGUAGCUAGGUCACAUGUAUAGUGCUGAGUGCACAUCAUGUGUACAAGAGAGCUACAAGACAUUAUGAUGUAGCUAGGUCGCAUGGGUGAUACUAUGUGUACACCAUGUAGACAAGAGAGCUACAGGAUAUAUGUAGCUAGGUCGCAUGCGUGGUUCCAAGUGAAGGACACCAUGUAGACAAGAGAGCUACGAGAUAAACUGGCUAGGUCACAUGGGUGGUACUAAGUGUUCACCAUGUGUACAAGAGAGCCGAACUAUAUGAUGGGUGGAGCUAUGUGCUGAAACCACCAAGUAUCGAGGAUUGAUCCGAAGUGUUCAACGGGAGACUCUCUAUGUAUUGCUUUGUGAGUUUUGUGAUGAAUAUGUGCAGGAACUUGGUUAUGUGAAUGAUGUGUUCAUUAAGUGACCAAGAUGUGGUAAGGUUAUAAACAAGUAAGUUAUGCAUGAGGAUGAUUUUGUGGUGACCUUGUGAUCAUGGGCCUAUACUUGUGAUGUAUGAAAUGUGGUGAAAAUGAUUUGUGAUAUGUAUGUUAAAAUGAGGUUAAUACAAACAAAGUGUGAAAGAGUGAAUUAGCAAUAAAACUGUUUUGGACAGUAGGAGUGACGUGAUUUUGAAAAAUCACCAAAAAUAGUAUAAAUUGAAUCAGAGACUGAAUGAGAUAUCAAAUUAAAUCUUAAUGAGUCUAUUUUCAUAUACAAGAAACAUAGAAAGCAAAGGAUUUCUAUAUUUCUAGAUAUUUAUGUUUUCGUGAGACUGAUUCAGAAUGAUUAUGUGAUCCCCUGUUCUGACUUUGGAAAAUCAAAAAAAUUUGGAGAAAAAUAAUUAGAGGCUAAAAAUUAUAUUUUUAAAAUCCAUAAUAAGUCUAUUUUCAAGAUAAAUCAACAAGAACAUUAUCCGAGUUUUGUACUGUGAGAUAAUUAUUUUUUAGUGAAGAGAGGUCAGAACUGUCAGAAAGUGAAACAGGGGAAAUUUUAAUGAAUAAACUGUACUAAUUUUCUAAACCAAAAAUUAUGAAAAUUUUAUGGUGGAACUAUAUGUGAGUCUAAUUUCAGAGGAAAUUUACGGAUCUUAAUUUGGAGCUUUGUAGCUCGAAUUAUAAAUAAUUAAGUGACUAUGACUCGUGUGGAUAGUUUGAUGUGAACAUUUAUUAAUAAAUUGUGAAAUCGUACUUACAAGAAUGCUAUAUACAUUAAGGAUGUGGAAUGGAGAGGAGGAGGAGGAAAAUAAAUAUAUAUGGAAUACAUGGAAACUAUGGUAUAUGAAAUAUUGAUAUAAUGAAAUAAAUGAUAUGUGUUUAUAAGAAAACAAAAAGAGAAUGUUAUGUAUCAUGACAUGUAUAUAUAUAUAUGACUAGUCUCAAUGUAAUGCUUGUUGGGUAUGAAAUUGAAUUGAAAUGUUUCAGGCAAACAUGUUAUUCUGCGCAUUUGAAUCGUGGUAUUUUAUAAAGAUAUGAUCUAGCUUUAAAUAUGAAUGCUUGAUGAUUAAGCUGGAGAUAUUUGGUAAGAUGAUAAUCUUGGUAUAAAUGUAUAAGUGGUACUAUAAUAAACAAGGUAAAAUGAGUAUGAGGGACACAUGUAUGAUGACAUACAAAUGCUAUGUUUGUGGUUUAAUUGAGGAUGUUUAAUCAUUAAAUGAAUACCAUGUUAUAUGCUUUUGAUUUUGUAUAAGUGUGUAAGAGAUCAAGGUUGACCAAAGCUUGGAAAAUAGCCUAGGUAUAUUCCACACAGGCAGAGACACGACCAUGUGUCUCAGCCGUGUAUGGAACACGACUUUGGGACACGGGCGUGUGAAGCCUUAAAGCAUGAAAUUUCCAAGAUUUUCGUAAGUUCUCGGUUUAGUCCCAAACCCUUUCUAAAGUAUGUUUUGGGCUCCAUAGACUCAAAUAAGGGACUAUGUGUAAGAGAAUGAACGCUUUGAAAUAUGAAUAAAAUUUUAUGGCUCGUAUUUUAGUUUAAUGUUUGCAUGUUUUUCUGGUAACGCCUCGUACCUUAGCCCGGCCUCGGAUACGGGUAAGGGGUGUUACACUUUGAGCCAACCCCUGAGUCACUGGUACGAACUGUCUCAAUCCAUGCUGCUUCAGCACGAGCAAAGGGGCAUAACCAAUGGCACCCCAAAUUCCUAAUAGGGGGACCCAAUCAAAACUGCCGCAUCGGUAAAGAACCUCACCAGGAAUCAUCCACGGAGCCCUCUACUCGACAUCUUUCGACUGAAGGUUCUGAAGUAGCGCAAUCCAAUUCUCUUCUGGAACAUCAACUCUCUUAGUUGAAGCUACUAUGUCUUUCAACGGUGAAUAAUCCUCGAAGAAGACCCGACAAACCACCCUAUCUAUCAACCGAAAAUGACUGUAGAACCAAGCCAGAAGUAACUGAGCACACCCUAUAAACCUGCUAGCACCAUCCCUCCUACAUGCACCUAAAGACCUGAAUGUUUCCGCCAAAAUUGCAGGAACAGAAGUGACCUUUUUACUGAGUCGAUGAAAAAUAUCCGUGGCUACCUCAUCCACGUAUCCCAAAGCCCUAGGGAAAACCAUCAAUCCAUACAAACUUAAGGCAAAAACAUCCACCUUCGUCUCAUCAGGGUGUGUCAGAAUCAAAUCUUUCAAAGCGUCCCACGAAAUGCACUUGCACUCACCCUUUUCCUUAAUUCAGGCCGUGGCCCACUGCUCGCUCAUCCCCGUAAUAAUCAUCAAUUUCUUCCAAAAAGUAAGGACACAAGCAGCUCGAGAAUAGAUUCUAUCAUUCUGAAACCUGGGACAACGAAGCAAGGCAGUUUACUCCUCCAAAGUAGGUACCAUAUCUACUUCCCCAAAAGUGAAGCAACUGUACGCUGGGUUCUAAAAUUGAGCAAGGGCUCGAAAUAAGUACUCGUCUAUCUGAACAUCAAGCAAGUACGGUAAGUCUCCGUAAUUACCGUAGAAUAACUGCUUGGUCUCUUUGCCCCACUGAUCCCAAAUUUCCUUAAGCUCCUGGAGAUUAUUCUGCAUGACACUAAUACGAGUGUAAUCUAACAACUCCGACACGUAUCCCUCAGCUAUACUAUCUCCCUUUUCUAGUUGAGUUUGCUCAAACCAUCUAUGGACGUUGGCGUUGCCUUCCACUCUAUCAAGAAGUCCGUUCUCCAUAAUAAAACUUCCUAACUUAGAAAUUUAUCGUGAACCGAUAUCUUUGUAAAUGCAAAAUGACAUGCAAACAAAAGAAAAGAGAUAGUCAGUAUCACAUGAUAUCAAUAAAUUUCAACGAUAACUUAUAAGGGUAAUAUCUAAAGUUUAAACCUAACUAAGUUGGGCUCAUACGGUCUUUCGAUAUGACGUUGGUUCUAAAGUUUGAGGUACCCGAACCAGCAGAUUCCUCGAUUCUCACCCAUUAUAGGCUCAUUUGAAUCGAGUUCGGUCCAGGGGAAUACAUUUCCCUAUGGCUACACGGAGAUGAAAAUCUCACGAAACCAUAGGUACGGAUGUAUCCCGAAAGUGAUCCACUAUCCUGCACGGAGGCGAAAACCUCACGAAGGCAUAGCUUCUCACUCCUACUUAAGGGUGUGACAACGGUCAUGCAAAUGCAAUGCGUAUUAGGAAUAGCAACACAUGCAAUAAUACAAACACAUGUAAUGCAAAGAGAAUUAAAUUUUAAAAUUUUUAAUUUCCGACAAGAGAUAAUCAAUUACACGGCUUGACUCUCUUAUUAGUCCCCAGUAGAGUCGCCAAGCUGUCGAAACCAUUUUUAAAUCGAGUUUUGGAAAAUGGGAAUCAACUUUAAAAAUGAAAACAGGAGUCGCCACCAAUCUUUUUAGGUGCGAUUGGAUCACCUUUAAAACAUUUUGUUUUAAAAUCACUAGUUUUGGUCUACGAAAUCAGAAAACGGGUUCGAGAGCCGGUUACGUACGAGAAAGGGUUAGCACCCUCGUAAUGCCCAAAAAUUGGUACCUAAUUGAUUAUCAAGUGUCUUUAAUGUCAGAGAUUCAAAAAUUUUAAGAUGCCAUCCCUUUUAGAAUAUUUUGAUUUCUUGUAAAUUAGAGUUCACUCGUAUCAAAGUAUUGACACUAAGUGAGCUUUUUAGAAAUCCCUAUCUCGAAACAACAAAAUGCUAUAUCUAAUAAGUUAGGACAUAUUGCUUUGCAAUUCCAAGACAGUUGCUCACAUUUUGCAAACAUUUAAAAACUAAGAAGGGUACUUCAUUAUUCGAACUUAACGAGAAAAGUUGCAACCCAAUAAGUUAGGGCACUACUUUCUCGAAAUUUCCAAACACCAAGCAUUGCCUUUAUAUUUUUUGAAAACUUUGGGGCCUUAAAAUGAUGCAUGGGGAAUUGUAUUGUAUUAUAAACCAUGCAUAGUAACAUAUUAUUGUAGUAGGUAAAUAAUACAUGCAUUUAAACAAAAUGAUGGCAGUAAUAUAAAGGUCUUGCAUUAGAUACAUACAUAUAAAAAUCAUAUAUACAUGGCAAAUAUUAACAAUAUACAUACAAAGAUAUAUGUAGCAUGUAUUGAGAAUGAAUAAACAAAACAUACAAACAUACAAAGUAAUACAUAGACAAUGUAUGAUAUACAAAAAAGAGUAAUACAAUAUCAAUGUACAUGUUCAUGAACUGUAAUAUUGAAUAUAAAAUAACAUAUAACACAUGAUAAUAUAAAAAUACAUAAAAGAAUUAAUAUAUAUAAAAUACAAUAUGAGGUGAAUAAUUGUUAACAAAAUAUAUAUAAUAAAAAUAUGAUAUUUAAUAAUAAUUUUACAAUAGUAUUUGAUUAUACAAUAUACAUAUUAACAAAAUAUUUAUAAAAGGGUAAUAAUUAUGUAUAAGAUAUAUUGGUUUAAAAGUAUGUGAGAGAACUUAUAAAGUAACACAUAAUAUAAAAAAAUAUAAAAAAUAAAUAAUUAAUAAUUAAUAAUUUAAAAUGAAUACAAUAUGAGUUUUAAAAAAAUAAUUUAAUUUACAAAUUUUAAAAUUAUAAAUAAUAUAAUGAAUAAUAUAAACAUAAAUAAUAUAAUAGAUAAUAUAUGAUAUACAUAACAAAAACAGUAAGUAAUAUAGAAUAAAAAUAAAAAUAUAAUAAACGUUAUAUAAUAAAAUAUAGUUUAAAUAUAAAGGAAAUAAGAAAUAUAAUAGAUAUAAUAUAAAAUAAUAAAAGUAUAUAUGUAAAAACAAUAUAUAUAAAUAGUUAAUAAAUAUAUAAUACAAGUAAAAAUAGAAUAAUUAUAAAAAAAAUAAUGAUGUAAAAUAAUAAUAAUUUGCGGGAAAAAAACAAUAGAUAAUAAAUAAUAUUAAUAUAUAUAAUAAAAUAAUUUUUCAAUAUAUAAUAUAAAAAUAGGGUAAAAAAAAGCAAAUUACAAUAUAUGAAAUAUUUAAAUAUAAAAUAAAAUGAAAAUAAAUCUAUUGGGCUAAAUUUAAAAUUCAGCAAAAUUACUGGGCGAAUUCAAAAGAAAUAGAACUGAAUUUAGGUCCUAAUUAAAACGAGCGCAAAACAAAAGAGACUCAUUGGGAAAAUUUCCCUAUUCCCAAAACGACUGCGUUUUAAACUGGGACUUAAAGCAGCUACUUUAGGGAUUAAAUCACAAUUGAGACAAAAUAUUAGGGUUAAAUCAUAAAUAAAAUAAAACUUAAUUGUAAACACAAAAAGGCUGGAAGGAUCAAUUGGGUAUUUAACCCAAUCCCAAAAAACGCGCGGAUCCUCCCCGGGUAAUCGGGUCAACGCGCGGAUCCUGGGGUUAUGAAACGAUGUCGCUUCGUUAAGGCUAUAUAAGCCAACUUCUCAGCCUUAAACUCAUUUGAAACCCGAUUUUUUUUAAAAAAAACCUAAAAUUUUCUCUAAAAGAGAGAGAGAAAGGAGAGAAGCUCCGGGCUCUGGCCUCUGUAGGCCUCGCCCUGGUCGUAGGCUUCACGCGCCGCCCUAAGGACCACCGCGCACGGUGUCUAGGGUUUGAAAAACCAUUCCCUUCCUUCGCCAAUCGUCAGGUAGCCUCCAUUUUCUUUUAUUUUCUUAUAUUAUUUCUCAAAUCAAUGUAUACAGGUCAGAAAACAAAUAGAUGAAAAAGAAAAGAAUAAAAAAAUGAUUUGAUUACCGUAAGAAACGAAAAAAAAAACUGUUUUUUUUAUUUCUUCUGCUCUAAAUGGAUACAGCUGCUAGUAAAAUCUUUUUUCUGUAUUUUUGUUUCUCUUUUUCUUUUCAUUUACAGAUUUUGCGAAAGGCUUUAUAGCCUCAGACUACUGCCUAUUUUGGAAAGAAAUCAGAAGAUUUCUUUCCAUUUCCUGCUCUAGUAUAUCUGCUGCCUUUUUCUUUGAUUUCUUUCCUUUUCUUGCAAAUACCCCGAAGAUCUCGGUGAUGGAAGGUUGCUAGCGUUGAUGGAGGCCUGAAGUCUAGUGGUGACAGAGACGAGAAAUUACAGCGUGCUUGGUGGCGACGAUCGGGCUGUUGAAUCUGUGAGAUGAAAGGUCACGUCGUUUGGAGUGCCCGAAACUUCUAGAAACUCCUUGCGGCGCUAUGUUCUCAGGAAACCCUAGGGUUUCCUUGUCUGUUUUUACCGUUUUGGGCCUUUUGGGCCACUUUAGUCUAGGGUCUGUUAUUUAGGCUUGGGUGUAACCUGGUUUGGUUUAAUUUGGGCUACGAGUGUAUUUUGGGCUGCUGGGGUUUAAUUCUUUUGGACUCUGUAUAUGGAAUUUUAAAAUAGAUAAAUACUUAUUUAUUUAACCCUUUUUAUUCUAUCUUCGGCCCGGUCAAAUUUGGGCUAAUACAAACUUUUUAUUUAUUUUUCACAUAAAAAUCUUAUAAUAUAAUUAUUUAAUUAAUAAAUACCUUUUAUAAAUAAUAAAUAUCUAUUAAUACUUAAAUACAAGCAUUACAUAAGUCAUCAGACACACCGUUCAUGAUCAUCGUUGUUACAUUAAAUCUCUUCAUAAAGUCACAAAGGGAGUUAUUCUCGCGCUGUCGGAUGGCAAUAAGAUAUGAUGGGGACUACAAAUGUAACAUCAUCGAAAAACCCUUGGUCGUAGUAGUAUAAUUUUGAAUAAUUAUGAGUUGAAUUUUUUAGAAUAAAUAAAUAUGAUUUAUAUGCGUUAGUAGAGAAUGUAGUAGAAGACUGUAGAAAAUUUAAAAUACUUAUGUAUUAAGAGAUAUUAAUUCGAGAUAUAGAAUAAAUUAUAAGGUUUUACAAAGUGUUGGGGUCAAAGUGAGAAAUUAAAAGUAAAAAUGAUUAAAUUGAAUUAAUAGUGAAAUAUGUGAGGACAUGGAGAGCUAUUUUACCAAGAGUUAGUGAAUAAAGAUGAUAGAUAGAUUUUAUUUUACAUUAUUAUGACAUUAUAUUAUAUUAAUUUAUUAUUAUUAUUAUUAUUAUUAUUUUAAGUAAAAGAUGGAUAAAGUUCUUUAUCAUUCUUUUCUCUCUUACAUUAUCAUCAUUUUUGGGAGAAGAGAACUGUAUUUUCUCUUCAAUUUUAUCCUCCAUCACCUUUAGUCCAUUUCAAUCUAAAAAUCACCAAAUCUCCAUUAAAAACCUUGGCUAAAUCAAGUUACCCACAACAUAGUAAGCUUUGAUUUUUUAAUAAAAGUGGUGGGUUCAUGCGUGAAGAGAGAAAAUUUAGAUGAAGUGAGAAACUAAGGUUUUAAGUUAACAUUUUCAUUAUUUAGUACUUAGUAACAUGUUUAUUACAAUUAUUUAUGGAAAUGUUGUGAGAUAAGUAUCUUGGUUUCUUAUGUUUUAUGAUACUGAUACAGAAUAAAAAGAAAGCCAAGGAAUAAGAAGGAAAAGGUGUAGACAAAGGAAAACAAAUGGACAAAGUUUCAAGAAAGUAUAGUUGGUUAAAAUUUGAAAGUACUUUAGACUUAUUUCCUACUUAAUUAAGUUUUCAAUUUAUAUGUUAUUACUUGUAACUUAAUAAGCAUGUGAAUAAUCCAUUGAAAUGGUAAACGAAUGUGAUUAAUGUUGAUGUGAAUUUAUGUGAAGAAAAAAGAACUAAAUUGUAAGUGUUGGAAAAUUAUGUAUGAAUAUGAAAGUAUGAAACUCGAUUGCGCUUGUGAUGAAAAUUGAAUUUGUAAUAAUUUUAAAGCACUUGUAGAAAAGUAUUGAACUUGAGGGAUAUAGAUGGCAUGCCAUUAGGAAUACAUUAGUGCACUAGUGAAAUUUAGCACCCGGUGCUCCUAAACUUAGCACUUUAGUGCUUUUGUUUUAGCAUGCUCAUGUAUUUAUGACUUCAGUUCAUUGACCCUUUUGGUUCACUCGAGUCUAUAAUUGGCGGAAUUGAGAGAUACAUGAAAAAUGUAUGAAUGACGAAAGUAUGGUAAGUGGAAUUGUGUAGAUUAACCUUAUUUUUAUUGUGUAUAUUAUCCAUGGCUAAUUAUUGAGGUCAUUAUAAAAAUAUUUAUUCAUUCACUUGCUAAAAUAGUACUUACUAAGUUUUCACAAUCAUAACGCGUGUUUUUAACACGUAGGAAAAUAUUGAGAGAAGUCUCAUUUGAAGUGGCCAACCUCAUCCUCAUUACAUCACCAAAGGAGUUUGUGAACUUAGAUUUUUAGUUAUAUAGUGGCAUGUAUAGAGGGUUAGAAUCAUAUAAAUUUUUGUUGUAAAUUAGUUCUGUUGUUGUAAAACUAUGUUAUGCAUUUUUAAUCUUAUUUUGUACUUUGGAAUGAUCUCCCUUAUAUGGAUAUACUUAUGAGUUAAAUGAUGUUUUUGAAUGUUAUAUGAUACAGAAUGUUUGAAGGUUGUUUAUAUUUAGUUUUAGGUGUUUUAGGUAAUAUGUCUCCAAUGUCGCGAAAUUCAAUCUUUAGUGUUGUGACAUCCGAAGCUAAUGUCACGACAUCUGAGUUUAGUGUUACAAUAUUGAGCAUACUACUUUUAGUAUUGCGACACCCAUUUUGCAGUGUCACGACAUGGAUCUUAUUUACCUUGUUUUGAUUCGAAUAAGCCCCGAACGACACCUAUUUGUAACCAAACUUUAAAGUAAUCUUAGAAAUGACUUAAAUAAGUCCAAAUGAGUAUAUUUAUGUAAAGUUGAAGUCUUGAGAUUGAUGCUCAAAUUAAGUUACCUUUUGAGUCCAAAUGUGAUAUCUCUUGCUCAGGACGUAUCGGUUCAUUCCAGGUAAGAGGUGUUAUAACAGAGGGGUCUUGUUAGCCAAAAAUAUGUUCAUGAAUAAUAGGCUAACUAAUCGAAACUAUGGAUGAGCACUGGUGAGAGCGAAAAAUACCAUUUUUAGGCAAUGUUGGAGAGAGUCAUAGAGAAGGCUUUGCUUUUAACUUCAUCAUAGGCCCCAAGUGUGUUCAUAUGUUUGUUGUAGUGGACAAAAUGGUCCUUCAAGUCAUCUAUUCCACUGUAAGACAACUUAGGGAAUUUAAAGGUGGCCAAAGGUUAUGAACCAAAACUGACGGGGUCAAAGGUUCAUUGGCAUAAAUCCAUAAAGCUUUAUAAGACUUAGAACCCUUGACCUUUUGCAGCAACUUCAACUUGAAAGCUACUAUCUGUUUUUCAAUAGAGGUUACUUUGCUGCGGACUUGACCAUGCCCCGGCGUACAUGUAUCGAGGCUGAAAAUCAAUACAAAAUAGUCAAUAAUAGGGUGGUAUACUACAAGUGUGACAGGUCAAGUUGUAAUAUUUUUAAUGUUACAAUGGAACACUCAAGCAUUCAAAGGAUCAAACCCAAGAGAGUUCAAGGACAAAGUGAUUCCUAUGCAAUAAGCAUGCAAAUGGAAAGUCUCGCUAACUAUUAGCUAAGUAUCAUAUUACGACAAUUCAUAGUCAAGGGUAAUUUAUACUAAUCGGUUACCCAACACUAUGUAGAACCAAAUUAUAAAACAAGAAAAAUUACACAAUUAAUUAACUUCCAUGUUGUUAAUUAGUCUUUGGAUUAGGGAUCUAAGAGGCUUAAACUUUUAAUUAGCUCAAUUUCACCUUUCAGUCACCAUGUUACCAAAUUAGAAGAUUUAGUCCAUUUUAUCUCUCAAUCUCACUAAACUAACUCGGACUAAACUAAUCGAUGUUUAAAAAGAUCUCUCAAUCUCACCUAUCUAUAUAUUCCUUUAAAGGCAUCAAUUAUAAGUUUUGAAGUUUAUUCAAUUUAGUCUAGUUUUUAGAAUUUAAUCAUUGUACCAAAAACCAACCAAACAACCAUCAACCAACCACCAUAAAUUUAGCUACUCCCAUCAUUCCAAUACAAAUAAAAACCCAAUAAGCAUUCAAACCAUACAUCAGAUUAAGCACAAAAGUAAGGUUUAAAAAAAUCUUAGUGAUUUCUUGAUGGUUGUCUGGAGAAGAUGAAGAUGGCAACAAAUGUGGGUGAAAAUAACUCUAAAGUUCAGAUUUUCAUCUAAGAAAAUGAAAUGGAGCUGAGCUGAGCUAUAUUAAUGGCUAAGGAUUAAACUAAAAAUACAAGUAGAUUUGGAGUGC